CCAAAGGCUCUUUUCAGAGCCCCUCACAGUACCAAAAAAGGAGCCU
Molecule: regulatory RNA element, 46 nt
Organism: Monodelphis domestica (gray short-tailed opossum)
Lineage: Eukaryota; Metazoa; Chordata; Mammalia; Didelphimorphia; Didelphidae
Rfam family: Histone 3' UTR stem-loop
About the family: The mRNAs of metazoan histone genes lack a poly-A tail.
Source: Rfam